GGCCAAUUUAACAUUGUACCAAACAUUUUUCCGGAUUUUUCAGUUCCAUAUUUUCCCGGAUUUAUUUGAAUGUUUCAAUAUCCGGUUUAGUUUGGAUUUUAUAUUUUUCGUGGGUGCACGAGCUUUAGUACAAUUUACCAGCCAUUCUUAGAUUACUAGUCACCUGUGCUGAAGACCCUAUAUUUUUUCUAUGAGAGAACUUCUAAGAUGUAAAUCACACCACACGACCACCACACAUACACAUGGAUGUUGUAUAAUUGGAUCAUGCUUUCUAGAAUUAAAUAAAGUGUGUGCAUUUACAAUG
This is a long non-coding RNA of Ostrea edulis (European flat oyster), 304 nucleotides long. RefSeq lists it as uncharacterized. Lineage: Eukaryota; Metazoa; Mollusca; Bivalvia; Ostreida; Ostreidae. The transcript has 2 exons. The record is from RefSeq and is a predicted model, not a curated record.